UACGUAGGUGGCAAGCGUUGUCCGGAUUUACUGGGCGUAAAGAGCGCGCAGGCGGUCGGAUAAGUCGAAUGUGAAAGCCCCUGGCUCAACCAGGGAGGGUCAUUCGAUACUGUUCGACUCGAAGGCAGGAGAGGGAAGUGGAAUUCCCGGUGUAGUGGUGAAAUGCGUAGAUAUCGGGAGGAACACCAGUGGCGAAGGCGACUUCCUGGCCUGUUCUUGACGCUGAGGCGCGAAAGCUAGGGGAGCAAACGGG
RNAcentral lists this ribosomal RNA (253 nucleotides) under uncultured bacterium. Its description in RNAcentral is "partial 16S ribosomal RNA". It matches the Rfam family "Bacterial small subunit ribosomal RNA", at positions 524 to 776 of the family's 1533-position model. The record is from RNAcentral.